RNAcentral lists this transfer RNA (75 nucleotides) under Candidatus Peregrinibacteria bacterium CG_4_9_14_0_2_um_filter_53_11. Its description in RNAcentral is "tRNA-Gly". It matches the Rfam family "tRNA". Rfam says of the family: Transfer RNA (tRNA) molecules are approximately 80 nucleotides in length. Their secondary structure includes four short double-helical elements and three loops (D, anti-codon, and T loops). The record is from RNAcentral. Lineage: Bacteria; Candidatus Peregrinibacteriota.
GCGAGUAUCGUAUAGUGGCUAUUACGCAGCCUUGCCAUGGCUGAGACGCGGGUUCGAUUCCCGCUACCCGCUCCA